GAUGAACGCUAGCGGCAGGCCUAACACAUGCAAGUCGAGGGGCAUCACGGAUUGCUUGCAAUCUGGUGGCGACCGGCGCACGGGUGCGUAACGCGUAUACAACCUACCUUUUGGAGGGGAAUAGCCCAGAGAAAUUUGGAUUAAUACCCCAUAGUAUAUAGGAAUCUCCUGAUUUUAUAUUAAACAUUUAUGGCCAUUAGAUGGGUAUGCGUCCUAUUAGCUAGUUGGUGUGGUAACGGCACACCAAGGCUACGAUAGGUAGGGGUCCUGAGAGGGAGAUCCCCACACUGGUACUGAGACACGGACCAGACUCCUACGGGAGGCAGCAGUGAGGAAUAUUGGACAAUGGGCGAGAGCCUGAUCCAGCCAUGCCGCGUGCAGGAAGACUCGCCCUAUGGGUUGUAAACUGUCUUUUACAGAGGAAGAACCCACCCCCACGUGUGGGGGUUUGACGGUACUCUGCGAAUAAGGAUCGGCUAACUCCGUG
RNAcentral lists this ribosomal RNA (487 nucleotides) under uncultured bacterium. Its description in RNAcentral is "bacterial SSU rRNA". It matches the Rfam family "Bacterial small subunit ribosomal RNA", at positions 28 to 507 of the family's 1533-position model. The record is from RNAcentral.